Non-coding RNA from Pholiota molesta, 87 nucleotides. Lineage: Eukaryota; Fungi; Basidiomycota; Agaricomycetes; Agaricales; Strophariaceae. The record is from the annotation of a GenBank genome assembly.
CCCUCGAUAGCUCAGUUGGCAGAGCGUGGGACUGUAACGGGUUACGUAAUCAUCCCGAGGUCGCUGGUUCGAAACCGGCUUGAGGGA